Molecule: long non-coding RNA, 1376 nt
Filed under: Equus asinus (donkey)
Lineage: Eukaryota; Metazoa; Chordata; Mammalia; Perissodactyla; Equidae
Description: lncRNA (ENSEASG00005031901.1)
Source: RNAcentral
GUUCUGACAUGUCUUUGGCCAAGACUUUCAGAUGCUAUGUAUUGAUGCCACUCAGAGUUCUUAACUCAGGGAUAUAAAUCAGGUUGUAGCAUGAAUAAGUGCAUAAAACUCAGUGGAAUGGAAUCUCAACCAUUCAGAGAGAAACAGAUGUCUUCCCCUUAUGUAUCUGCUAAAUACUCAGAAACUUCAAAAUGUGCACAGAAGGAGCUCUGAGAAACCAGACUGGGAAUUCCUGCCAAUCUGUGAACUGAAAUCUCUACCAAAGGACUCCUCCUCAGGGACACUGGCAAGGUGCAACACAAUGCCUCCAAGUCUCAGGACGUGCAUCAUGUGUGCUGUUAAAAAGAAGCAUCUCAUGGGAGCACAUCAUCGACUACCAGAGGAGCAGUAGAAGGAUAACACUUAUAUUUCCUCCCUUGAGCCAUGUCUCUCUACAGAUCUUUCCAUCAGAGCUCAAAAAAAAACAAAAAACAAAUCUGGAACAAAACCCUGCAUAAUAUUUUUUUCCAGCCAUGACUGUAAAACCCUUGCAGCUGAGAGACAACUCAGUACGUGUGAGAUGAGCUUCACGUGAUAAGUCUGGAAGGAAGUUAUGUUUCCCCACAGCUGUCCUGCUAAGAAAUGCAUGUAAAGGAACUUCAGCCAGGAACUUCCCCCCCAAACAAGCAAACAGCCUAUGGACUAACAAAGAAGAAAGAUUUGCAUCAUGAAGAGAAUUUCAGUAGACAUUUUGGAAGCAAACUAGAUAAGGGCAAAAGUGAACAAAAAGCAAUCCAUCUAGUGGUGCGUUGUUACCCAAUCACUGUGUGAAUGCUUCUCAUAAAUGUUUGAAGGAUGGCUCAUCUACAUUCCCAGUUACACACAUUACCAUACUCUUGUCAAGAAAAGUGAGGAAAAAAGAGUUCAUUGAGGCAGAGUUCUGGGCUGAGUGAGAGCUUUUCAAGAGCCUACAAGUAACUGACCUUCUCAUGUUGUCUCCAUUCCUUGGUUAGGACGCUCAAGUCCUCGAUCACAGCGGUAUGCAACGGUCAUAGAAUCCAUGGUGAAUUUGCUUUCCUUAAGCUUCACCAGAGUGGUCCUCUAUUUAAAGCUACCAAACACAUUAAAUACUUUAUCAAAAUACACCUUUUUAAAAUCUUCUUUUAAAACUUGACCAAAAACAACAAAGCUGCUAAUUUUUUUAAAUAAAUCACACUGAAAAAAACCUUAGCAGUAUCUCACCACAUUCAUUCUUAACAGCUUUUGCAACAGCUUAUGCUAAAUAUAAUCUUACUCUGGUGACAAGAGUUUCCCUGGUUGUUUUCUUCUAAACUCCCAACUACCAUGCUAGGAAAUCCUCUAAAAUUCAUAUAAUUUUACUUAUAAUUAUUAAUUGA